GACGAACGCUGGCGGCAUGCCUAAUACAUGCAAGUCGAGCGAACAGAUGAGGUGCUUGCACUUCUGACGUUAGCGGCGAACGGGUGAGUAACACGUAAGGAAUCUACCUAUAAGCGGGGGAUAACAUUCGGAAACGGGUGCUAAUACCGCAUAAUAUCUUCUUCCGCAUGGAAGAAGAUUGAAAGACGGCUCUGCUGUCACUUAUAGAUGACCUUGCGGUGCAUUAGUUAGUUGGUGGGGUAAUGGCCUACCAAGACGAUGAUGCAUAGCCGAACUGAGAGGGUGGUCGGCCACAUUGGGACUGAGACACGGCCCAAACUCCUACGGGAGGCAGCAGUAGGGAAUCUUCCGCAAUGGGCGAAAGCCUGACGGAGCAAUGCCGCGUGAGUGAAGAAGGCCUUCGGGUCGUAAAACUCUGUUAUAAGAGAAGAACAAAUUGUAGAGUAACUGCUACAGUCUUGACGGUAUCUUAUCAGAAAGCCACGGCUAACUACGUGCCAGCCGCCGCGGUAA
This 513-nucleotide ribosomal RNA is filed under the name uncultured bacterium. RNAcentral's name for it is "partial 16S ribosomal RNA". It matches the Rfam family "Bacterial small subunit ribosomal RNA", at positions 28 to 523 of the family's 1533-position model. The record is from RNAcentral.